Molecule: ribosomal RNA, 497 nt
Filed under: uncultured bacterium
Lineage: Bacteria
Description: partial 16S ribosomal RNA
Rfam family: Bacterial small subunit ribosomal RNA
Source: RNAcentral
GAUGAACGCUGGCGGCGUGCCUAAUACAUGCAAGUCGAGCGAACAGAUGAGGAGCUUGCUCCUCUGACGUUAGCGGCGGACGGGUGAGUAACACGUGGAUAACCUACCUAUAAGACUGGGAUAACUUCGGGAAACAGGAGCUAAUACCGGAUAAUAUAUUGAACCGCAUGGUUCAAUAGUGAAAGACGGUUUUGCUGUCACUUAUAGAUGGAUCCGCGCCGCAUUAGCUAGUUGGUAAGGUAACGGCUUACCAAGGCAACGAUGCGUAGCCGACCUGAGAGGGUGAUCGGCCACACUGGAACUGAGACACGGUCCAGACUCCUACGGGAGGCAGCAGUAGGGAAUCUUCCGCAAUGGGCGAAAGCCUGACGGAGCAACGCCGCGUGAGUGAUGAAGGUCUUCGGAUCGUAAAACUCUGUUAUUAGGGAAGAACAAAUGUGUAAGUAACUAUGCACGUCUUGACGGUACCUAAUCAGAAAGCCACGGCUAACUACGUG